This 730-nucleotide ribosomal RNA is filed under the name uncultured bacterium. RNAcentral describes it as "bacterial SSU rRNA". It matches the Rfam family "Bacterial small subunit ribosomal RNA", at positions 771 to 1501 of the family's 1533-position model. The record is from RNAcentral.
AACAGGAUUAGAUACCCUGGUAGUCCACGCCGUAAACGAUGUCGACUUGGAGGUUGUGCCCUUGAGGCGUGGCUUCCGGAGCUAACGCGUUAAGUCGACCGCCUGGGGAGUACGGCCGCAAGGUUAAAACUCAAAUGAAUUGACGGGGGCCCGCACAAGCGGUGGAGCAUGUGGUUUAAUUCGAUGCAACGCGAAGAACCUUACCCGGUCUUGACAUCCACAGAACUUUCCAGAGAUGGAUUGGUGCCUUCGGGAACUGUGAGACAGGUGCUGCAUGGCUGUCGUCAGCUCGUGUUGUGAAAUGUUGGGUUAAGUCCCGCAACGAGCGCAACCCUUAUCCUUUGUUGCCAGCGGUCCGGCCGGGAACUCAAAGGAGACUGCCAGUGAUAAACUGGAGGAAGGUGGGGAUGACGUCAAGUCAUCAUGGCCCUUACGACCAGGGCUACACACGUGCUACAAUGGCGCAUACAAAGAGAAGCAAUCUCGCGAGAGCUAGCGGACCUCAUAAAGUGCGUCGUAGUCCGGAUUGGAGUCUGCAACUCGACUCCAUGAAGUCGGAAUCGCUAGUAAUCGUGAAUCAGAAUGUCACGGUGAAUACGUUCCCGGGCCUUGUACACACCGCCCGUCACACCAUGGGAGUGGGUUGCAAAAGAAGUAGGUAGCUUAACCUUCGGGAGGGCGCUUACCACUUUGUGAUUCAUGACUGGGGUGAAGUCGUAACAAGGUAACC